This 164-nucleotide ribosomal RNA is filed under the name uncultured bacterium. RNAcentral describes it as "partial 16S rRNA". It matches the Rfam family "Bacterial small subunit ribosomal RNA", at positions 355 to 511 of the family's 1533-position model. The record is from RNAcentral.
UAGGGAACCUUCCACAAUGGGCGAAAGCCUGAUGGAGCAACGCCGCGUGUGUGAUGAAGGGUUUCGGCUCGUAAAACACUGUUGUAAGAGAAGAAUGACAUUGAGAGUAACUGUUCAAUGUGUGACGGUAUCUUACCAGAAAGGAACGGCUAAAUACGUGCCAC